This 261-nucleotide ribosomal RNA is filed under the name uncultured bacterium. RNAcentral's name for it is "partial 16S ribosomal RNA". It matches the Rfam family "Bacterial small subunit ribosomal RNA", at positions 94 to 354 of the family's 1533-position model. The record is from RNAcentral.
CGUGGCGGACGGGUGAGUAACGCGUGGGGUAACCUGCCAUAUACAGGGGGAUAACACUUAGAAAUAGGUGCUAAUACCGCAUAAGCGCACAGGGGCGCAUGCCCCGGUGUGAAAAACUCCGGUGGUAUAUGAUGGACCCGCGUCUGAUUAGCCAGUUGGCAGGGUAACGGCCUACCAAAGCGACGAUCAGUAGCCGGCCUGAGAGGGCGGACGGCCACAUUGGGACUGAGACACGGCCCAAACUCCUACGGGAGGCAGCAG